Molecule: ribosomal RNA, 478 nt
Filed under: Lactobacillus sp.
Lineage: Bacteria; Bacillati; Bacillota; Bacilli; Lactobacillales; Lactobacillaceae
Description: bacterial SSU rRNA
Rfam family: Bacterial small subunit ribosomal RNA
Source: RNAcentral
AUUUUGGUGAGUGGCGGACGGGUGAGUAACACGUGGGUAACCUGCCCAAAAGUGGGGGAUAACAUUUGGAAACAAGUGCUAAUACCGCAUAACAACUGCUUUCACAUGAUCGCAGCUUGAAAGAUGGCUCUGCUAUCGCUUUUGGAUGGACCCGCGGCGUAUUAGCUAGUUGGUGAGGUAAUAGCUCACCAAGGCAAUGAUACGUAGCCGACCUGAGAGGGUAAUCGGCCACAUUGGGACUGAGACACGGCCCAAACUCCUACGGGAGGCAGCAGUAGGGAAUCUUCCACAAUGGGCGAAAGCCUGAUGGAGCAAUGCCGCGUGAGUGAAGAAGGUUUUCGGAUCGUAAAACUCUGUUGUUGAAGAAGAACAUGCGUGAGAGUAACUGUUCACGUACUGACGGUAUUCAACCAGAAAGCCACGGCUAACUACGUGCCAGCAGCCGCGGUAAUACGUAGGUGGCAAGCGUUGUCCGGAU